This 299-nucleotide unclassified non-coding RNA is filed under the name uncultured fungus. Its description in RNAcentral is "sequence contains ITS2". The stretch from base 1 to 52 matches the Rfam family "5.8S ribosomal RNA", at positions 103 to 154 of the family's 154-position model. The record is from RNAcentral. Lineage: Eukaryota; Fungi.
AACGCACCUUGCGCUCCUUGGUAUUCCGAGGAGCAUGCCUGUUUGAGUGUCAUGAAAUCUUCAACCUACAAGCUUUUUGUGGUUUGUAGGCUUGGACUUGGAGGCUUGUCGGCCUUUAUUGGUCGGCUCCUCUUAAAUGCAUUAGCUUGGUUCCUUGCGGAUCGGCUGUCGGUGUGAUAAAUAAUAUUAGUCUACUCCGCGACCGUGAAGCGUAUGGCAAGCUUCCAACCGUCUCGCUAUAGAGACAGCUUUUUAUGACCUCUGACCUCAAAUCAGGUAGGACUACCCGCUGAACUUAA